RNAcentral lists this ribosomal RNA (405 nucleotides) under uncultured bacterium. RNAcentral's name for it is "bacterial SSU rRNA". It matches the Rfam family "Bacterial small subunit ribosomal RNA", at positions 370 to 772 of the family's 1533-position model. The record is from RNAcentral.
AAUGGAGGCAACUCUGAACCAGCCAUGCCGCGUGUAGGAAGAAUGCCCUAUGGGUUGUAAACUACUUUUAUUUGGGAAGAAAUCCCUCUACGUGUAGGGGGCUGACGGUACCAAAGGAAUAAGGACCGGCUAACUCCGUGCCAGCAGCCGCGGUAAUACGGAGGGUCCAAGCGUUAUCCGGAAUCAUUGGGUUGAAAGGGUGCGCAGGCGGUAAAGUAAGUCAGUGGUGAAAUCCCUUCGCUCAACGAAGGAAUNGCCAUUGAUGCUGCUAUACUUGAAUAUAGUUGAAGUAGGCGGAAUGUGUAGUGUAGCGGUGAAAUGCUUAGAUAUUACACAGAACACCGAUAGCGAAGGCAGCUUACUAAACUAAUAUUGACGCUCAUGCACGAAAGCGUGGGGAGCGAA